UAUCUCUGUAGAGUCUGCAUAUCAAUAAGCGGAGGAAAAGAAACUAACUAGGAUUCCCUCAGUAACGGCGAGUGAAGCGGGAAGAGCUCAAAUUUGAAAUCUUCAAGGUUCUACCUUGACGAAUUGUAGUUUAAAGAAGUGUUUUCUGUUGAAGUUUUGGUAAAAGUUCUUUGGAAUAGGACAUCAUAGAGGGUGAGAAUCCCGUAUUUGACCAUUAUUGCCAGCUUUGUGAUACACUUUCAAAGAGUCGGAUUGUUUGGGAAUGCAGUCCAAAAUGGGUGGUAAAUUUCAUCUAAAGCUAAAUACUGGCGAGAGACCGAUAGCGAACAAGUACCGUGAGGGAAAGAUGAAAAGAACUUUGAAAAGAGAGUUAAACAGUACGUGAAAUUGUCAAAAGGGAAGCGUUUGACACCAGUGUUGUUUUUCUCGAAAAUCAAUUAAAAAAAGUUGGAUUUUGUAUUGUUAAGACCUUAUCAGCUUACUGUACUCUUUUCUUGCUUUUUUUAAUGCACUUUUCGUUUAACAAGUCAACAUCAAUUUCUUUUGUUGUAAAAGAGUCAUUGGAAGGUGGCUUUCACUUCGGUGAAAGUGUUUAUAGCCUUUGGCUUCUGCAAUCGGAGAGAUUGAGGUCUGCAGCGUAGAUCCUUCGGGGCUAGAUACGUAGAUGCUAAGUUAUAGUUUUUUAUAGACAACUUGUUGACUAUAAUUAAUCAUGUAGCUUACUCGUUUGCGCUAUUUUACCUACGCUUAGGAUGUUGACGAUCAGCUGAGCGCG
This 775-nucleotide ribosomal RNA is filed under the name uncultured Neocallimastigales. Its description in RNAcentral is "partial large subunit ribosomal RNA". It matches the Rfam family "Eukaryotic large subunit ribosomal RNA", at positions 24 to 637 of the family's 3401-position model. Lineage: Eukaryota; Fungi; Neocallimastigomycota; Neocallimastigomycetes; Neocallimastigales. The record is from RNAcentral.